GCAGUCGACGCUGAAGCUGGGUGCUUGCACCUGGUGGAUGAGUGGCGAACGGGUGAGUAAUACGUGAGUGACCUUCCUUGGACUCUGGGAUAAGCCCGGGAAACUGGGUCUAAUACCGGAUACGACCAGUCCUCGCAUGGGGUGCUGGUGGAAAGGGUUUGUACUGGUUCUUGAUGGGCUCACGUCCUAUCAGCUUGUUGGUGAGGUAAUGGCUUACCAAGGCGACGACGGGUAGCCGGCCUGAGAGGGUGACCGGCCACACUGGGACUGAGACACGGCCCAGACUCCUACGGGAGGCAGCAGUGGGGAAUAUUGCACAAUGGGCGCAAGCCUGAUGCAGCGACGCCGCGUGGGGGAUGACGGCCUUCGGGUUGUAAACCUCUUUCAGCAGGGAAGAAGCGAAAGUGACGGUACCUGCAGAAGAAGCGCCGGCUAACUACGUGCCAGCAGCCGCGGUAAUACGUAGGGCGCAAGCGUUGUCCGGAAUUAUUGGGCGUAAAGAGCUCGUAGGCGGUUUGUCGCGUCUGCUGUGAAAGCCCGGGGCUCAACCCCGGGUGUGCAGUGGGUACGGGCAGGCUGGAGUGCAGUAGGGGAGACUGGAAUUCCUGGUGUAGCGGUGAAAUGCGCAGAUAUCAGGAGGAACACCGAUGGCGAAGGCAGGUCUCUGGGCUGUUACUGACGCUGAGGAGCGAAAGCAUGGGGAGCGAACAGGAUUAGAUAC
Molecule: ribosomal RNA, 721 nt
Filed under: Rothia koreensis
Lineage: Bacteria; Bacillati; Actinomycetota; Actinomycetes; Micrococcales; Micrococcaceae
Description: bacterial SSU rRNA
Rfam family: Bacterial small subunit ribosomal RNA
Source: RNAcentral